ACAGCGUACUUUUUGUAGAACGGUCCGGCGAGUUAUUGUAUGUGGCGAGGUUAAGGACUUAAGGUCCGGAGCCGCAGGGAAGCCGAGUCUUAAUAGGGCGAAUAGUCACAUGCAAUAGACCCGAAACCGGGUGACCUAUCCAUGGACAGGUUGAAACGAGAGUAAAAUCUCGCGGAGGACCGAACCCACCGGUGUUGAAAAACCGGGGGAUGAGCUGUGGAUAGCGGUGAAAUGCCAAUCGAACUCGGAGAUAGCUGGUUCUCCCCGAAAUAGCUUUAGGGCUAGCCUCAGGGUAGAGUCUAGCGGAGGUAAAGCACUGACUGGGCUAGGGGCCUUACCGGGUUACCGAACCCUAUCAAACUAAGAAUGCCGCAUAGAUGUUACCUGGGAGUCAGACUACGAGAGAUAAGUUCCGUUGUCGAGAGGGAAACAGCCCAGACCAUCAGCUAAGGUCCCAAAAUCACGGUUAAGUGGUGAAGGAUGUGGGCUUGCUAAGACAACUAGGAUGUUGGCUUAGAAGCAGCCAUUCAUUCAAAGAGUGCGUAAUAGCUCACUAGUCGAGUGAGCCUGCGCCGAAAAUUAUCGGGGCUAAACCGUGUACCGAAGCUGUGGAUUCAUACACGUUCAAUGGUGGAACCUUAAGGGAAGCAUGGAUGAUAAUUUAGCAGGAAAGGAACCUUGAUAAACAUUCAAAUCAAAGAGGAAGCUUUCCGACAAAUUCUCACCAGCUAAAGCGUGAAGACUGAAGAUAAGAGACAUAUAGCAAAAGGUUCCAGCAUUGAGCGUGUAUGAGUGGUAGGGGAGCUUACUGCACGAGGCUGAAGGUCGACCGAGAGGACGGCUGGACGAAGCAGUAGUGAGAAUGCCGGAAUAAGUAGCGAGAGUAAAGUGAGAAUCUUUACCGUCGAAAGCCUAAGGUUUCCUGGGGAAGGUUCGUCCGCCCAGGGUAAGUCGGGACCUAAGCCGAGGCCGAAAGGCGUAGGUGAUGGACAACAGGUUGAUAUUCCUGUACUACCGUUACUCGCUUGAGAGAAGUGGGGACGCAGGGGGAAUAGUUAAGCGAGCGACUGGAAGAGCUCGUCCAAGGGAGAUAGAUAGUCCGGCAGGCAAAUCCGCCGGAUGUUUCGAAGGCCCGACGGGGAGGGAAAUUAGAGUACCGAAGUAACGAUUUCCGCACUGACGAGAAAAGCCACUAUCGAGAGUAAAGGUACCCGUACCGCAAACCGACACAGGUAGGUGAGGAGAGAAUCCUAAGACGAGCGGGAGAAGCGUUGUUAAGGAACUCGGCAAAUUGACCCCGUAAGUUCGCGAGAAGGGGUGCCUCGAAGGAGGCCGCAGUGAAACGGCCCAAGCAACUGUUUAGCAAAAACACAGGUCUCUGCUAAAUCGAAAGAUGACGUAUAGGGGCUGACGCCUGCCCGGUGCUGGAAGGUUACGGGGAUCUGUUAGCGCAAGCGAAGCAGUGAACUUAAGCCCCAGUAAACGGCGGCCGUAACUAUAACGGUCCUAAGGUAGCGAAAUUCCUUGUCGGGUAAGUUCCGACCCGCACGAAUGGCGUAAUGACUUGGGCACUGUCUCGACAACGCGCCCGGCGAAAUUGUAGUACUCGUGAAGAUGCGAGUUACCCGCGACAAGACGGAAAGACCCCAUGGAGCUUUACUGCAGCCUGAUACUGGGUUUCGGUAUUUUUUGUACAGGAUAGGUGGGAGACUGAGAAGCGUGGGCGCCAGCUUACGUGGAGUCGUCGUUGGGAUACCACUCUAAAAGUACUGAGGCUCUAACCAGAGUCUGUGAACCAGGCUUGGGACACUGUCAGGUGGGCAGUUUGACUGGGGCGGUCGCCUCCCAAAAGGUAACGGAGGCGUCCAAAGGUUACCUCAGCGCGGUUGGAAAUCGCGCAUCGAGUGCAAAGGCAUAAGGUAGCCUGACUGUGAGAGGUACAUCUCGAGCAGGUACGAAAGUAGGGCUUAGUGAUCCGGUGGUAUGAAAGUGGAAUUGCCAUCGCUCAACGGAUAAAAGCUACCCUGGGGAUAACAGGCUGAUCUCCCCCAAGAGUCCACAUCGACGGGGAGGUUUGGCACCUCGAUGUCGGCUCA
RNAcentral lists this ribosomal RNA (2096 nucleotides) under bioreactor metagenome. RNAcentral's name for it is "bacterial LSU rRNA". It matches the Rfam family "Bacterial large subunit ribosomal RNA", at positions 596 to 2539 of the family's 2925-position model. The record is from RNAcentral.